RNAcentral lists this ribosomal RNA (357 nucleotides) under uncultured bacterium. RNAcentral describes it as "partial 16S ribosomal RNA". It matches the Rfam family "Bacterial small subunit ribosomal RNA", at positions 338 to 693 of the family's 1533-position model. The record is from RNAcentral.
CCUACGGGUGGCAGCAGUGAGGAAUAUUGGUCAAUGGGAGAGAUCCUGAACCAGCCAAGCCGCGUGAGGGAAGACGGCCCUAUGGGUUGUAAACCUCUUUUGUCGGAGAACAAAACCCGGGACGAGUCCCGGACUGCGUGUAUCCGAAGAAAAAACAUCGGAGAACUCAGUGCCAGCAGCCACGGUAAUACGGAGGAUGCGAGCGUUAUCCGGAUAUAUUGGGUGUAAAGGGGGCGUAGGCGGGCUGUUAAGGCAGCGGUAAAAUUGCGGGGCUCAACCCCGUCGAGCCGUUGAAACUGGCAGACUUGAGUUGGCGAGAAGUACGCGGAAUGCGCGGUGUAGCGGUGAAAUGCAUAG